Molecule: long non-coding RNA, 888 nt
Filed under: Phoenix dactylifera (date palm)
Lineage: Eukaryota; Viridiplantae; Streptophyta; Magnoliopsida; Arecales; Arecaceae
Description: long non-coding RNA (PDAC_LNC016735)
Source: RNAcentral
UCCGACCAAGUUCGAGAUGCCUUGACCAAGCUCGGGAUGACCUGCUAGUCGACUGCGAGCUAUGGCCCUCUCGACCUCGGGUACUGCCUAAUGACAUCCCGACCAAGCUCGGGACGCCCUGCUGAGUCGACCGCGAGCAAAGCCUCCCUCAACCUCGGGAUCUACCUAACGAAAAUCCGACUAUAGUCCAAGAUGCCUAGAACAUAUAUUAUGGAUCGAAGGGCACUCGAGCCUGUGAUAACUCACGAUUCGAACAACCGAAUAUCACCAAGGGUGGAGAACUACGAUGCAGCUUCCAAUUCAUCACGACCCAAAAGCGUCUUUUCCCUCUUUUCAAAACGACAAAAUGAUUUGAAGCCGCCUAAUCUCAUCAGCAUGAUAGAAAUAGCUACUUCCUUCGCCCGAGCUCGAAAACAGCUCGAACUCGGAAAUCGGGGGCUAGUGUUGGGAAAAAAGUGAUCACCCAAUACAUAUGGUUAAAGCAUCCGAAUUUGACAGCAAGCCUGGUCUCAGCAGGCAUGACCUCAGAAGGCCGACUUUAGAAGGCCAAGUGCAGAAGGCUGACCUCAGAAGGCCUCCUCCAGAAGGCCGAGCUUAGAAAGCCUCCUCCAGAAGUCCAAGCUCAGAAGGCCUCCUCCAGAAGGCUGAGCUCAGAAGGCCUCCCCCAGAAGGCCGAGCUCAGAAGGACGACCUCGGCAGGCACAUUCUCGGCAAGCAUAGUCUCGGCUGAGCAAAGCUUGAUUGACCUCGGGGCCUAGGAAGACUUAGUUAGAAGCUGAGACCGACCCCGACUUUACCAACAGUCAAGCCAGUCUCCAAAUCGGAAUGUCUACAUAAAGAAGGGAGCUCCAAAUCCUCCAUAUUCGGGAUCAAAUCCCGCAGUCUCCG